This 253-nucleotide ribosomal RNA is filed under the name uncultured bacterium. RNAcentral's name for it is "partial 16S ribosomal RNA". It matches the Rfam family "Bacterial small subunit ribosomal RNA", at positions 524 to 776 of the family's 1533-position model. The record is from RNAcentral.
UACGGAGGGGGCAAGCGUUGUUCGGAAUUACUGGGCGUAAAGCGCACGCAGGCGGAUUGAUAAGUCAGGGGUGAAAUCCCGGGGCUCAACCUCGGAAUUGCCUUUGAUACUGUCUGUCUUGAGACCGGGAGAGGUGAGUGGAAUUCCUAGUGUAGAGGUGAAAUUCAUAGAUAUUAGGAAGAACACCAGUGGCGAAGGCGGCUCACUGGCCCGGUACUGACGCUCAUGUGCGAAAGCGUGGGGAGCAAACAGG